CCUACGGGUGGCAGCAGUGGGGAAUAUUGCACAAUGGGGGGAACCCUGAUGCAGCGACGCCGCGUGAGUGAAGAAGUAUUUCGGUAUGUAAAGCUCUAUCAGCAGGGGAGAAAAUGACGGUACCUGCUUAAGACUCCCCGGCUAACUACGUGCCGGCAGCCGCGGUAGUACGUAGGGGGCAAGCGUUAUCCGGAUUUACUGGGUGUAACGGGAGCGUAGACGGGAGCACGAGUCUGGAGUGAAAUGCCGGGGCUUAACCCCGGAACUGCUGUUGAAACUGUGCAGCUAGAGUGCAGGAGAGGUAAGGGGAAUUGCUAGGGGAGCGGUGAAAUGCGUAGAUAUUAGGAGGAAAACCAGUGGCGAAGGCGGCUUACUGGACUGGAACUGACGUUGAGGCUCGAAAGCGUGGGGAGCAAACAGGAUUAGAUACCCCUUGUAGUC
Molecule: ribosomal RNA, 441 nt
Filed under: uncultured bacterium
Lineage: Bacteria
Description: partial 16S ribosomal RNA
Rfam family: Bacterial small subunit ribosomal RNA
Source: RNAcentral